GUAGGUGGCAAGCGUUGUCCGGAAUUAUUGGGCGUAAAGCGCGCGCAGGCGGUUCUUUAAGUCUGAUGUGAAAGCCCACGGCUCAACCGUGGAGGGUCAUUGGAAACUGGAGAACUUGAGUACAGAAGAGGAAAGCAGAAUUCCACGUGUAGCGGUGAAAUGCGUAGAGAUGUGGAGGAACACCAGUGGCGAAGGCGGCUUUCUGGUCUGUAACUGACGCUGAGGCGCGAAAGCGUGGGGAGCAAACAGGAUUAGAUACCCUGGUAGUCCACGCCGUAAACGAUGAGUGCUAAGUGUUAGGGGGGUUUUCCGCCCCCCUUAGUGCUGCAGCUAACGCAUUAAGCACUCCGCCUGGGAGUACGGCCGCAAGGCUG
RNAcentral lists this ribosomal RNA (374 nucleotides) under uncultured organism. RNAcentral describes it as "partial 16S ribosomal RNA". It matches the Rfam family "Bacterial small subunit ribosomal RNA", at positions 527 to 896 of the family's 1533-position model. The record is from RNAcentral.